Molecule: ribosomal RNA, 1445 nt
Filed under: uncultured organism
Description: SSU rRNA
Rfam family: Bacterial small subunit ribosomal RNA
Source: RNAcentral
GACAGGCUUAACACAUGCAAGUCGAGGGGCAGCACAGGUAGCAAUACCGGGUGGCGACCGGCGCACGGGUGAGUAACGCGUAUGCAACUUGCCUAUCAGAGGGGGAUAACCCGGCGAAAGUCGGACUAAUACCGCAUGAAGCAGGGGCCCCGCAUGGGGAUAUUUGCUAAAGAUUCAUCGCUGAUAGAUAGGCAUGCGUUCCAUUAGGCAGUUGGCGGGGUAACGGCCCACCAAACCGACGAUGGAUAGGGGUUCUGAGAGGAAGGUCCCCCACAUUGGUACUGAGACACGGACCAAACUCCUACGGGAGGCAGCAGUGAGGAAUAUUGGUCAAUGGCCGAGAGGCUGAACCAGCCAAGUCGCGUGAGGGAUGAAGGUUCUAUGGAUCGUAAACCUCUUUUAUAAGGGAAUAAAGUGCGGGACGUGUCCCGUUUUGUAUGUACCUUAUGAAUAAGGAUCGGCUAACUCCGUGCCAGCAGCCGCGGUAAUACGGAGGAUCCGAGCGUUAUCCGGAUUUAUUGGGUUUAAAGGGUGCGUAGGCGGCCUUUUAAGUCAGCGGUGAAAGUCUGUGGCUCAACCAUAGAAUUGCCGUUGAAACUGGGGGGCUUGAGUAUGUUUGAGGCAGGCGGAAUGCGUGGUGUAGCGGUGAAAUGCAUAGAUAUCACGCAGAACCCCGAUUGCGAAGGCAGCCUGCCAAGCCAUUACUGACGCUGAUGCACGAAAGCGUGGGGAUCAAACAGGAUUAGAUACCCUGGUAGUCCACGCAGUAAACGAUGAUCACUAGCUGUUUGCGAUACACUGUAAGCGGCACAGCGAAAGCGUUAAGUGAUCCACCUGGGGAGUACGCCGGCAACGGUGAAACUCAAAGGAAUUGACGGGGGCCCGCACAAGCGGAGGAACAUGUGGUUUAAUUCGAUGAUACGCGAGGAACCUUACCCGGGUUUGAACGCAUUCGGACCGAGGUGGAAACACCUUUUCUAGCAAUAGCCGUUUGCGAGGUGCUGCAUGGUUGUCGUCAGCUCGUGCCGUGAGGUGUCGGCUUAAGUGCCAUAACGAGCGCAACCCUUGCCACUAGUUACUAACAGGUAAAGCUGAGGACUCUGGUGGGACUGCCAGCGUAAGCUGCGAGGAAGGCGGGGAUGACGUCAAAUCAGCACGGCCCUUACAUCCGGGGCGACACACGUGUUACAAUGGCGUGGACAAAGGGAAGCCACCUGGCGACAGGGAGCGAAUCCCCAAACCACGUCUCAGUUCGGAUCGGAGUCUGCAACCCGACUCCGUGAAGCUGGAUUCGCUAGUAAUCGCGCAUCAGCCAUGGCGCGGUGAAUACGUUCCCGGGCCUUGUACACACCGCCCGUCAAGCCAUGGGAGCCGGGGGUACCUGAAGUCCGUAACCGCGAGGAUCGGCCUAGGGUAAAACUGGUGACUGGGGCUAAGUCAUAACA